This is a long non-coding RNA of Carassius gibelio (silver crucian carp), 954 nucleotides long. RefSeq lists it as uncharacterized. The transcript is spliced from 2 exons. Lineage: Eukaryota; Metazoa; Chordata; Actinopteri; Cypriniformes; Cyprinidae. The record is from RefSeq and is a predicted model, not a curated record.
GUGAUUUUUUGAAAUAACAGUAAAAAAGUAACCAGUAAAUGUCUUUUAUUUUUUUUAAGUGCAGCUUCUAAACACUUCAAAAAAAUGUACACAUAGAAGACAAGUCAUUCUGAGGAAAUAUGCAUAGUUUCAUGACUAUACAACACUAUAUGGAUGAUAGAAAAUUAAAAAACUAUCAUACAUCUGAUGUCACUCUGUCCCUCUGUCACUGUGGGUAAUGUGUGUGUGUGUGUGUGUGUGUUAAGUGAAUUAGGUGUGAAACUAUCAGGGAGCAUUUAGUCUCCAGUGCCAACAUUUUACAGAACUGCCACUUUCCUGGAGUCUCAGAAUUACAAUGUGUCAGGUUCUGAGAAAUCUAAGAUUCCAAAAAAUGAUUUAAUUAGAAUACCAUGAAGUAUUGUGAAAUACUAUAUAUUAAGACUUUAUAUAUAGGCUUCAUGAACAGAUUAGAGUGACUCGUGAAGGACCAGCACCACCUCCUCUUGUCUGAUGGUUUGAGGAAUAUAUCUUCCAGAAUCCGGGAUUAAGAUUUAGAAGCUCAUUUUUAUUCCACCUCCUUUCCUGAAAGUCUGUCUUGCAGAAUUGACUAAAAAUUAAUCUUCACAUUAAUUCCUAAUUAUUUUGCAAUUCUUUUUGUCAGUUCUUCUUGACCUGUUUUUUUCUUCUUCUUUUCUGACCUCAUGACCCAGUCAGCAUUUUUUGUAUAAUGGUCAAGUCUUAACUUAUCCAUUUCUGUAUUGCAUUUGUGUUUGAUAUUUCUCAUGGGUAUUUCAUAAUUUUCGACUUUACAGUUUGAGUUAAAACUCUUUUUUAGCGCAUUCCAUCUGCAAAAGAAAACAUGCCUAAUAAUUCUACACACAUGAAUAUAAAGUGUUUUUCUCUUCCAGCUUUCCUGGACUAUUGUAUAGCACUUAUAAAUGAUUAAAUAAAAAUAAUGGUAGUUAUUAAGAUUGA